This 902-nucleotide ribosomal RNA is filed under the name Xanthobacter autotrophicus. RNAcentral's name for it is "bacterial SSU rRNA". It matches the Rfam family "Bacterial small subunit ribosomal RNA", at positions 52 to 981 of the family's 1533-position model. Lineage: Bacteria; Pseudomonadati; Pseudomonadota; Alphaproteobacteria; Hyphomicrobiales; Xanthobacteraceae. The record is from RNAcentral.
GACGUGGCGGACGUCUACAAUGCAUCGAGCGCCCAGCAAUGGAGAGCGGCAGACGGGUGAGUAACGCGUGGGGAUCUGCCCAAUGGUACGGAAUAACCCAGGGAAACUUGGAUUAAUACCGUAUGUGCCCUUCGGGGGAAAGAUUUAUCGCCAUUGGAUGAACCCGCGUCGGAUUAGCUAUUUGGUGUGGUAAAGGCGCACCAAGGCGACGAUCCGUAGCUGGUCUGAGAGGAUGAUCAGCCACACUGGGACUGAGACACGGCCCAGACUCCUACGGGAGGCACCAGUGGGGAAUAUUGGACAAUGGGCGCAAGCCUGAUCCAGCCAUGCCGCGUGUGUGAUGAAGGCCUUAGGGUUGUAAAGCACUUUCGCCGGUGAAGAUAAUGACGGUAACCGGAGAAGAAGCCCCGGCUAACUUCGUGCCAGCAGCCGCGGUAAUACGAAGGGGGCAAGCGUUGCUCGGAAUCACUGGGCGUAAAGCGUACGUAGGCGGGUCGUUAAGUCAGAGGUGAAAUCCUGGAGCUCAACUCCAUAACUGCCUUUGAUACUGGCGACCUUGAGUUCGAGAGAGGUUGGUGGAACUGCGAGUGUACAGGUGAAAUUCUUAGAUAUUCGCAAGAACACCAGUGGCGAAGGCGGCCAACUGGCUCGAUACUGACGCUGAGGUACGAAAGCGUGGAGGAGCAAACAGGAUUAGAUACCCCUGGUAUUCCACGCCGUAGACGAUGGAUGCUAGCCGUUAGGCAGCUUGCUGCUUAUUGACGCAGCUAACGCAUUAAGCAUCCCGCCUGAGGGAGUACGGGUCGCUAGAUUUAAUAACUCAAUGAAUUUGACGGGGGAUCCGCACAAGCGGCUGGGAGCAUGGUGGGAUUUAAAUAUUCGUAAAGCAAUCGGCAGCAAGU